AUACGGAAGGUCCGGGCGUUAUCCGGAUUUAUUGGGUUUAAAGGGAGCGUAGGCGGAUGUUUAAGUCAGUUGUGAAAGUUUAAGGCUCAACCUUGAAAUUGCAGUUGAUACUGGAUAUCUUGAGUACAUUGAAUGUGGGCGGGAUUCGUGGUGUAGCGGUGAAAUGCUUAGAUAUCACGAAGAACUCCAAUUGCGAAGGCAGCUCACAGUAAUGUAACUGACGCUGAUGCUCGAAAGUGUGGGUAUCAAACAGGAUUAGAUACCCCGGUAGUCCACACAGUAAACGAUGAAUACUCGCUGUUUGCGAUAUACAGUAAGCGGCCAAGCGAAAGCGUUAAGUAUUCCACCUGGGGAGUACGCCGGCAACGGUGAA
RNAcentral lists this ribosomal RNA (373 nucleotides) under uncultured bacterium. Its description in RNAcentral is "bacterial SSU rRNA". It matches the Rfam family "Bacterial small subunit ribosomal RNA", at positions 523 to 898 of the family's 1533-position model. The record is from RNAcentral.